UACGGGGGUGGCAAGCGUUACUCGGAAUUAUUGGGUGUAAAGGGCAAGUAGGCGGUCUUGUAGGAGAGGGGUGAAAUCUACCGGCUCAAUCGGUAAACUGCCUUUCUAACCACAAGACUUGAGGGUAGCAGAGGGAAAUGGAAUUUCCGGUGUAAGGGUGAAAUCUGUAGAUAUCGGAAAGAACACCAGCGGCGAAGGCGAUUUCCUGGUCUACUCCUGACGCUGAAUUGCGAAAGCUAGGGGAGCAAACAGA
This 253-nucleotide unclassified non-coding RNA is filed under the name uncultured bacterium. RNAcentral's name for it is "contains 16S-23S intergenic spacer region". It matches the Rfam family "Bacterial small subunit ribosomal RNA", at positions 524 to 776 of the family's 1533-position model. The record is from RNAcentral.